RNAcentral lists this ribosomal RNA (272 nucleotides) under uncultured bacterium. RNAcentral's name for it is "partial 16S ribosomal RNA". It matches the Rfam family "Bacterial small subunit ribosomal RNA", at positions 72 to 339 of the family's 1533-position model. The record is from RNAcentral.
UUGGAAGCUUGCUUCCGAUAGGCGUCGACCGGCGCACGGGUGAGUAACGCGUAUCCAACCUGCCCACCACUUGGAGAUAACCUUGCGAAAGUAAGACUAAUACCCAAUGAUAUCUCUAGAAGACAUCUGAAGGAGAUUAAAGAUUUAUCGGUGAUGGAUGGGGAUGCGUCUGAUUAGCUUGUCGGCGGGGUAACGGCCCACCAAAGCGACGAUCAGUAGCCGGCCUGAGAGGGUGAACGGCCACAUUGGGACUGAGACACGGCCCAAACUCC